RNAcentral lists this transfer RNA (71 nucleotides) under Bos taurus (domestic cattle). It matches the Rfam family "tRNA". From Rfam's summary of the family: Transfer RNA (tRNA) molecules are approximately 80 nucleotides in length. Their secondary structure includes four short double-helical elements and three loops (D, anti-codon, and T loops). Further hydrogen bonds mediate the characteristic L-shaped molecular structure. tRNAs have two regions of fundamental functional importance: the anti-codon, which is responsible for specific mRNA codon recognition, and the 3' end, to which the tRNAs corresponding amino acid is attached (by aminoacyl-tRNA synthetases). tRNAs cope with the degeneracy of the genetic code in two manners: having more than one tRNA (with a specific anti-codon) for a particular amino acid; and 'wobble' base-pairing, i.e. permitting non-standard base-pairing at the 3rd anti-codon position. Lineage: Eukaryota; Metazoa; Chordata; Mammalia; Artiodactyla; Bovidae. RNAcentral also lists the same sequence under 1 other name. The record is from Rfam by way of RNAcentral.
UUUCUGGUGGUUCAGUGGUAAGACUUGGUAUUUCCAUUGCUGUGGCCCAGCUUCAAUCCCUGGUCAGGAAG